GGAAAACUGAGCUGACGAUGAAGAAGGAUUGGUGACAAGUCAAAGCGAUGUGUGGUUUGGAUAUUUCUACAAUUGACUUCUUUUCUGGUAGUCUAGAUAUAAUAUAAAAUGCAAAAAGGAAAGAAGUCCUUGCAGGUGUCCAGAUAGUCGCCCAGAACCACCGGUGUCUUUAAGAAAUGGUGCGAGUGGUGGGCCAAGGAAGGCUUGGUUAUCAAUCACUAAGCUGGUGAUGGCAUCAUAGGGGUGACUUUUUGCUGAGGCAAACGUCAUAAACCAUUGAAGCAGGCCCUCAGACCAUGCUGGUUUUCUUUCAUCUAGUUCCAUCUACCAGCCACAGCCGCCCGUGACGGAGGACAUCGCUGAUGACCUGGAAGGGAAAGCCUCAUUCUGGGAACAGAUGUGGCAGAGGCGAAGGAACUGAUGAAAGGAAUAGCAUCUUUAAAGGAGAGACGGUUGAAGAGUUUCAUGCUUUCAGGCUUGGCGAUGCCAGAAAUGGCGGGACUGAAAUGGAACGAUUUCACUACUUCAACAAAUUAGGAACUACGAAGUAUUUGAAGGUAUCAACAAUCGACAAAACAGAGAUUUGGAGGAUACACUCAUCAAAAGCAUUAUAUGAAGGCCAUCCGUUAUCUGCACUGAUUUUGUUCUUUUACAGUCAAUUAAGAGAAUACAGCAGGCUGUUAGCUGUCCAUCGUACGCAACAAAGACAGUGAAACCUAUGCGGAAAAGCUGUUGCUCUGGGACGGUUUCACUCCCUCCACUUUGGAAGCUCAGGUCUAGUGGUACAAGUAAUCAUCACAAAAUGGGGUUUUCCUUGGUUGCAGUGGAUGGCCAGGACUUCUUUGUGCCUUCUCUUUCCAUGAAGUAUUGCAGAACCACCUUCUUCACUGUUGGAUCUCUGUUUAUGUCAUUUGCCCAGUCCACCAGAGCCGACUUCAGAUGCUCAGACAGAGAUGGCCCUUGUAACCAGGAUAGAUAGGAGGCCCACGAGCUACCCUCACCUGGCUUAACCUGUCUGUUGAAGCAGUAUACCGGGAUGUGGUAAACGUCACAUGCAAACGGCUACUGGGAGCCGCAGGUGAGACCUGAGUGUCUGGUGGGACCCCAAAGGUGAGUGAGCCGCCCCAAAAUGGACCGAUCAAGCCCAUUCACCAGAGGAUCCCCCACCGCUCCCCUCCCCGGACACGCCAUAAAUGUGUUGUGUUCACUGGAUGAAUUCCUCCAUGGAUAACAAUUACAAAUUAACAUAGAGUUUUAUAGUACAAUAUUGUUAGUGUUCUAAUUUGUUCUGUAUUCCCUUUAAGUACACAAUUUGUUACUUAGCUAAAUGGUAGUUAGUCCUUUUUAUACCUUUUUAACUAUUUCCAAGAAGCUUCAGCUGAUUGGGGCAACCGCUAAAUUGGGCCAAAAUGUACUGGUCCUGAUGUGUCCCAAUUAGCCAGAAUCCACUAUUAUGUUAUCUGAACUUUUAAUGAUUUGGCAAGAUGUAAUAGUGCACUGAAUUAGAUGCAGAUUAGGAAUGAUAACAAGAUGAUACUUAGACGAUGCGAUUGAUCAUCUGUGUGAACUAGGUUGAUCUCAACCAGGUGGAAUCAAUUUCAAUGUCUGCCUUCAAUAGCAUGUUUAUCAGGCUAGAACUCUGAUCAGAUAAUAGACAGUGACACAAAAAUAACAAGUCUAAGAAUCAAUUGCUUGAUGAGUUAUACAGAAGUGAACCAGGCCCUAUGGCUCAACUUAUCCAUGCCAACCAAGUUCUCUACCUGAGUCAGUACCAUUUGUUUGUGUUUUUCCCAUUAUCCAUGGAUAAGAAAGGUUCAAUGCCUUUUAAACACUAUUAUCGUACCAGCUUGUACAACUUCUGGCGGAUCAUUCCACAUACCUACAACCCUCUGAAUGAAAACAUUGCCCCUUGGGUCCCCUUUAAACCUCUCCCUUCUCAGCUUAAACCCAUAACCUCUAACUUUUGACUUCCCUACCCUGGGAGAAAGACUGACAAUCCACCUUCCCCAUUUCCAUCCACUGUCUGAGACCAAGAAAUCUGAUUGUGUAACCAUUCUACUAAUGAGGUUUCCAUUUAUUUAUGUCCAUCGUGCAACAAUCAGAAAUGUGCCCCAACUUCAGUAUUUAAAGGCCUGGCUCUGAAUUUGAGAUUUCCUCCAGAUUCCUGACCAGAAGAGAAAAAUUCUAUCUUAUGUGUUCUUCUUAAUUACAUACAAAUUACUACAACUUAUAUUUCAGAAAACAAUUUAAGUUUGCCUAAUAAUACCUUGUAAUAAUUUAAUCAAAGAAAUUAAAUAUCAUCCCACUAAGUCUAUCCUACACUCCUCUAAAGACCUAUAUAUUUAAAAACAAGCUGACCAGAAUUAAUGACUUUCAAAUGUGGGUCCCACAAAACUUUAUGUAUCUCUCUGCUCUUCAGGAUAGACCAGAACUCCAUUAACCACUGACUUGCUUGUUUUUACCACAUCUGUUCAAAACUUUGUGCCCAUGGAAGUCCACAUUUCAGUGGUCCUCCUUGCAUCAAUGAGAAAAAAAACUGUUCUGCCCUUAUAUAUGGGUAUUGUCCAUGUUAAAAUCCAUUUGCUUUUGUCUCCUUCAUUCACUUAAAGUAUCAAUACCUCAAUGUGAUAAUACUCCAUCUAAACUAUCUCAAUACUAUUCCAUGGGAUACUUUUUUGUUACUUGGGUUACUUGCUGGUGUCCAAUCACAAACAAGAGAAGACCUGCAGGUGCUGGAAAUCUGAGCAAAACACACAACGCUGGAGGAAAUCAGCUGGUCAGGCAGCGUCUAUGGAAAGAGUAUAGUCGAUGUUUCGGGCCAAAACCCUUCGACAGGACUGGAGAGAAAAAGCCAAGGAGUAGAUUUAAAAGGUGAGGGGGAAGAGGAGAAAAAAAAACACAAGGUGAUAGAUGAAAUCUGCAGUGGGAAGGAUGAAGUAAAGAGCUGGGAAGUUGAUUGAUGGAAGAAUUCUGCGAUCAGGACGAGGCUUUUAAUUCUAGAAUGAAGGAAAUGUCUUAUUUUUUCAAAGAAAGGGGCUUCCCUUCCUCCACUAUCAAAGCUGCCCUCAACUGCACCUCUUCCAUUUCACGUAUGUCUGCUCUUUUCCCACCCACCCGCCACCCUACCAGGGGUCGGGUUCCUCGUUCUCACCCACCACUACACCAGCCACUGUGUCCAACAAAUAAUUCUUUGUAACUUCUGCCAUCUCAAACAGGAUCCCACCACCAAGCAUAUUUUUCCCUCCCCCCACCCCCACUUUCUGCAGGGAUCACUCCCUGUGUCCACUCCCUCAUCCAUUUGUCCCUCCUCACUAAUCUCCCUCCUAGCACUUAACUUACAAGCAGGAUAAGUGCUACACUUGCUCCUACACCUCCUCUCUCAGUACCAUUUAGGGCCUUAAACAGUCCUUCCAGGUGAGGUGACACUUCUCCUGUGAGACUGUUGAGGUCAUAAACUGUGUCCGGUGCUCCCGCUGUGGCCUCCUCUAUAUUUGUGAGACCCGACAUAGAUAGGGAGACUGCUUUGCCGAGCACCUAUGCUUUGUCUACCAGAAAAAGUGGGAUCUCCCAGUAGCCACCAAUUUUAAUUCCAUUUCCCAUUCCAAUAUGCCCAUCCAUGGCAUCCUCCACUGCCGCGAUGAGGCCAUGCUCAGGUUGGAGGAGCAACACCUUAUAUUCCACUCGGGUAGCCUCCAGCCUGAAGCCAAGAACAUUGAUUUCUCAAACUUCUGGUAAUGCCCCUCCCUUCUGUCUCUUUCAUCAAACAACCUAGUUCUUUACUUCAUCCUUCCACCCCCCACCCUCCAGGUUUCAUGUAAUCAUCUGGUGUUUCACUCUCCCCUCCCCCUACCUUUUCAAUCUAAUCCUUGGCUUUUUUUUCUCCAAUCCUGCUGAAUAAAAUGGUUGUGUUGAUUACAAUAUAACCAUGUAGCACUACUGAAAGUUUCUGUGGAUGUUACACCGCUUCCAUGUUAAAGAAAAUGCACAAGUAACAAAAGUAUAUAUGAACUCAUCCAUUUUUAAGUUCUACAAAUAUUUUCUCA
Molecule: long non-coding RNA, 4043 nt
Organism: Hypanus sabinus (Atlantic stingray)
Lineage: Eukaryota; Metazoa; Chordata; Chondrichthyes; Myliobatiformes; Dasyatidae
Exons: 4
Source: RefSeq, a predicted model, not a curated record